This 446-nucleotide ribosomal RNA is filed under the name uncultured Hyphomicrobium sp. Its description in RNAcentral is "bacterial SSU rRNA". It matches the Rfam family "Bacterial small subunit ribosomal RNA", at positions 8 to 505 of the family's 1533-position model. Lineage: Bacteria; Pseudomonadati; Pseudomonadota; Alphaproteobacteria; Hyphomicrobiales; Hyphomicrobiaceae. The record is from RNAcentral.
AGAGUUUGAUCCUGGCUCAGAACGAACGCUGGCGGCAGGCCUAACACAUGCAAGUCGAACGCUCCAGCAAUGGAGAGUGGCAGACGGGUGAGUAACACGUGGGAACCUUCCCUUUGGUUCGGAAUAGCCCAGGGAAACUUGGGGUAAUACCGGAUAAGCCCUUACGGGGAAAGAUUUAUCGCCGAAGGAUGGGCCCGCGUCGGAUUAGCUAGUUGGUGGGGUAACGGCCUACCAAGGCGACGAUCCGUAGCUGGUCUGAGAGGAUGAUCAGCCACACUGGGACUGAGACACGGCCCAGACUCCUACGGGAGGCAGCAGUGGGGAAUAUUGGACAAUGGGCGCAAGCCUGAUCCAGCCAUGCCGCGUGAGUGACGAAGGUCUUCGGAUUGUAAAGCUCUUUUGGCGGGGACGAUAAUGACGGUACCCGCAGAAUAGCCACGAUGCCG